AAGUCGUAACAAGGUUUCCGUAGGUGAACCUGCGGAAGGAUCAUUACAAAAUUAUACGUGUGUUGUGUCGUGUGCAGGCAGCCGCAAGGCUCCUGUUACUCGAGCACACCAAUUUACGCUUGUUGUGUUUGUCAGAGUUAUUGUGACUGAAAUUAUAGACAACUUUUAACAAUGGAUCUCUUGGCUCUU
RNAcentral lists this unclassified non-coding RNA (189 nucleotides) under Rozellomycota sp. RNAcentral's name for it is "Cryptomycota sp. partial contains small subunit ribosomal RNA, internal transcribed spacer 1, and 5.8S ribosomal RNA". The stretch from base 1 to 46 matches the Rfam family "Eukaryotic small subunit ribosomal RNA", at positions 1786 to 1831 of the family's 1831-position model. Lineage: Eukaryota; Fungi; Rozellomycota. The record is from RNAcentral.